Molecule: ribosomal RNA, 329 nt
Filed under: Brachyspira pilosicoli
Lineage: Bacteria; Pseudomonadati; Spirochaetota; Spirochaetia; Brachyspirales; Brachyspiraceae
Description: bacterial SSU rRNA
Rfam family: Bacterial small subunit ribosomal RNA (bases 1-239)
Source: RNAcentral
GGAAACAUGGACUAAUACCGCAUAUACUCUUGUACAUAAGUAGAGUAGAGGAAAGUUUUUUCGCUUCACGAUGAGCCUGCGGCCUAUUAGCCUGUUGGUAGGGUAAUGGCCUACCAAAGCUACGAUAGGUAGCCGACCUGAGAGGGUGACCGGCCACAUUGGGACUGAGAUACGGCCCAGACUCCUACGGGAGGCAGCAGCUGAGAAUCUUCCACAAUGGACGAAAGUCUGAUGGAGCGUGACAGUAGAUAAUGUAAGCCUCGGCUAACUAACAUCGCGUGAGGGAUAGGCCUUCGGGUUGUAAACCUCGGAAAUUAUCGAAGAAUGAG